This 315-nucleotide ribosomal RNA is filed under the name uncultured eukaryote. Its description in RNAcentral is "partial 18S ribosomal RNA". It matches the Rfam family "Eukaryotic small subunit ribosomal RNA", at positions 1470 to 1796 of the family's 1831-position model. The record is from RNAcentral.
CCCUUAGACGUUCUGGGCCGCACGCGCGCUACACUGACCAGUGCAACAAGCAUCCGUCCUUGGCCGACAGGCCCGGGCAAUCUUUGAACGCUGGUCGUGAUGGGGAUAGACUUUUGCAAUUUUUGGUCUUCAACGAGGAAUUCCUAGUAAACGCAAGUCAUCAACUUGCAUUGAUUACGUCCCUGCCCUUUGUACACACCGCCCGUCGCACCUACCGAUUGAAUGGUCCGGUGAAGCCUCCGGAUUGACGCGCACCUCGGUGCCGCCGAGAAGUUGGCUAAACCUUACCAUUUAGAGGAAGGUGAAGUCGUAACA